This 170-nucleotide ribosomal RNA is filed under the name Sillaginopsis domina. Its description in RNAcentral is "partial 12S rRNA". Lineage: Eukaryota; Metazoa; Chordata; Actinopteri; Sillaginidae. The record is from RNAcentral.
CACCGCGGUUAUACGAGGGACCCAAGUUGAUAAAUAUCGGCGUAAAGUGUGGUUAGGGGUAUAAUCAAACUAAAGCCGAACGCCCCCCGCACUGUUAUACGUUUGCUGGGGGUAAGAAGCCCACUUACGAAAGUAGCUUUAUUUUACCUGAACCCACGAAAGCUGAGGGA